Molecule: long non-coding RNA, 1807 nt
Organism: Carassius auratus (goldfish)
Lineage: Eukaryota; Metazoa; Chordata; Actinopteri; Cypriniformes; Cyprinidae
Exons: 3
Source: RefSeq, a predicted model, not a curated record
GCAGGAAUGCAGUUUACACAUUAGCCCAGCUGCCAGAAAUUACAGCAAGCUCAAUUCUGCUGGACUGGAACAGGGGGGGGCGUGAAAUGGAAGGAUGGCAAGGACGCAGAAAAUGAAGAGGACCCACCAUUGCAUUCUCUUGGGAAAUGAUCUGUGGUGAAUAACCAGAAACCGCAGAAGAGGCUGAGAGAGAGAGAGAGAGAGAGAGAGAGAGAGAGGGGAAGAACAGGGGGAAGGAGGAGGAGGGGAGAGCCUAGCGUCCUCUGAGGGCAGUAGACUAACAGCAUCGCAAGUAAAGUGUGUACGGGCUGUUUCCUGCUCCGUAAAGGCUCAUUUCUCCACCCUUGGUGCAUCUUACCGCUCCUGCCUGCUGACAGCAAGUUCUUCUUCCAUACAUCCCCAGACGCUCUCAGAAUGCACCUACUUUCCUGCAAGCAGAAACACGGUGACAGGAGCACAGAGACUUGAGGAUAUCUGGCAUUAAAAAGGAAGUAGGACUGAAAAGAAGGAACAAAUCCUUGAUUGGGAUUUUUUUAAUGAAAUCACUUGACGUUUACUACUCUGAAUCCAUCCAGCGUUUUAAGUUGGAACGGAACCCUGAGGGGCUAAAGGAAUAAGUGUCAUCUAAUCAAACGAAGAUCCUUUGAUUUCAUAUCGCACAGAGAGGAUCCUAAGCGAUACCAUUCAACGGGAGAUAAUUGAACUUCCUGCCUGACAGGCAGCUGAAAAUGGAGAACUAGAAGUUCAAGUGGUUUUUCUGGGGGAUAUGUUCAAGCACCCCACCACUCAGAAUCAGAUUGCAGGCCUGUUCUGAUGGCCAUCUUCUAGCGAUCUGUGGCAUUUGGUGUUGUUUUUUUCUCACUUUUUCUGAUAAGGGAAAGACCUACUUUGGAAUUAUUUUGUAUCUCAAAUUUUAGACUAACAUUCAACAGUUUUACGGUGUAGGUCUAGAAAGAAAAACAAAGAAAGAGAGAUCAGAUGGUGGCAUGCUUUGGAUUGACAAUUCCGUUCUCCUCCAAUCUGGGUAAAAAAGGAAAAAUGUUUUAAAUGCUUUAGUUUUGCUAUUCAGAUUCAGGUAAAUUGAAAGUCAGUAGGAGAACAAGACCAAAGAAAGCGAAAAUUGGAGGGAGGGGGCCAGAUGCCACAGAUCGUCGCAAACUCCUACCUUUUGAAAAGUUAAGCUUCUUUUUCCAUUUUCAUCUUCUUUUCAUCUUGAAAAUUAGAUUUUUUUGUUCUUUCAGAUGACCCUUAAGACUGUAAGGGAGACCGUAACACAUUGCAGUGACUGAGAUAGGGUGGGGAAAAGGAGGGAGAAGCUUUCCCCCCGUAUCUGAAACAGAAUGUUCUGUUGGCUUCUCAUUUUUGCAGUUUUAGGUAUUUAUCUUGUCACUCCAUUCUCAAACUCCAUUUUUAUCCCCCUCUCCGUGCCUCUGGGAGAGCAAAGGACAGAAUUGAGUUAUUUUAUCCCUGCUGGAAUUUUUUUUAUUUGCCUUCCCGACUGAUUUUUCUUCUGUACUCCUGUUUACCCCAGACAAAAUGCUGUUGGAUCUCAAGUCAAAAUCAGGAACCUGAUAGCGUUUGGCAAAAGAUUCCACAAGGAGAGCCAGGCAACAAGAACAAGAGACGGAAACCUAACCUCCGAUCUUAAAAAAAGCGUGAGAUCUGCUUUCCCCCUCCCCGUUUCAGAGGUGUCCUCCGAUAUUCCUUCCUCUUUUCCCCCGGAAUCUGUCAGCAUUCCCGACGGGACGCAGCCAGCUUGUAUCCGUGCCAAUCCUUUGAUAUUAGCUCCCGGUGUCGUCUGCUUCAU